RNAcentral lists this ribosomal RNA (370 nucleotides) under Erythrolamprus epinephalus. RNAcentral describes it as "Erythrolamprus epinephelus partial large subunit ribosomal RNA". It matches the Rfam family "Bacterial large subunit ribosomal RNA", at positions 1960 to 2550 of the family's 2925-position model. The record is from RNAcentral. Lineage: Eukaryota; Metazoa; Chordata; Lepidosauria; Squamata; Dipsadidae.
CAUAAUCAUUUGUCCACUAAUUAUGGACUAGCAUGAAAGGCAAAAUGAGGGUUUAACUGUCUCUUAUAGUAAGUCAAUUAAACUGAUCUACCAGUAAAAAAGCUGGAAUAAACACACAAGACCAGAAGACCCUAUGAAGCUUUAACUAAACUAUUAAACCACAUAAUACCUACUUUCGGUUGGGGCGACCUUGGAAAAAAAAGAACUUCCAAACCAGUGACAUUAGUCACCCUCAGGCCAACAAGCCACAUAUGACCCAGCACACCUGAUAAUUGAACCAAGUUACUCUAGGGAUAACAGCGCCAUCUUCUUCAAGAGCCCAUAUCAAAAAGAAGGUUUACGACCUCGAUGUUGGAUCAGGACAUCCUAA